AAUGGACGAAAGUCUGACGGAGCGACGUCGCGUGGGUGAUGAAGGCGGAAACGUUGUAAAGCCCUUUUAUAGACGAGGAAUAAGCUUUGGAGGGAAUGCCAGGGUGAUGACGGUAGUCUGUGAAUAAGCCCCGGCUAAUUACGUGCCAGCAGCCGCGGUAACACGUAUGGGGCGAGCGUUGUUCGGAAUUAUUGGGCGUAAAGGGUAUGCAGGCGGUUUUCCAAGUCUGGUGUGUAAGACUUCAGCUUAACUGAAGGAGCGCGCUGGAAACUGGGAGACUAGAGUACAGGAAGGGGAGUUGGAAUUCCAGGUGUAGGGGUGAAAUCUGUAGAUAUCUGGAAGAACAUCAGUGGCGAAGGCGAACUCCUGGCCAUGUACUGACGCUGAGGUACGAAAGCGUGGGGAGCAAA
RNAcentral lists this ribosomal RNA (410 nucleotides) under uncultured bacterium. RNAcentral's name for it is "bacterial SSU rRNA". It matches the Rfam family "Bacterial small subunit ribosomal RNA", at positions 370 to 772 of the family's 1533-position model. The record is from RNAcentral.